Molecule: ribosomal RNA, 253 nt
Filed under: uncultured bacterium
Lineage: Bacteria
Description: partial 16S ribosomal RNA
Rfam family: Bacterial small subunit ribosomal RNA
Source: RNAcentral
UACGUAGGUGGCAAGCGUUGUCCGGAUUUACUGGGCGUAAAGAGCGCGCAGGCGGUCGUUCAAGUCGCGUGUGAAAGCCCCCGGCUCAACUGGGGAGGGUCACGCGAUACUGAUCGACUGGAAGGCAGGAGAGGGUAGUGGAAUUCCCGGUGUAGUGGUGAAAUGCGUAGAUAUCGGGAGGAACACCAGUGGCGAAGGCGACUACCUGGCCUGUUCUUGACGCUGAGACGCGAAAGCUAGGGGAGCAAACGGG